CCCGUCGCCGUAUAAAAGCAUUUAAACAGGAUAACGCCGACCUUCGCCUCUGCAUCUGGCGUCAGACGACCAGCUUGUAUCGUCACUAUUAACCUCUGGCGAAAUGCUGAUGGCAUGUGAUGCUGUGCGUGCAACUCUAUGCAAAGAUGAGUUUCACGUUCUCAAAGACAAUUCCAAAUGGCAACUGUACUUUUUAGAAUGACUCACCAAGCCUUGACAAAGAGUAUGACUCAAAGAUUCAGAGUCAAGCCACACGACAUGAUGGUUAUAACACUAAGGUAGGAGAGAAGGUCAAGCUGGAACUCAACAUGCGGCAAUGGCAAGAAUCAGAGCUUUAAACACAUUUGAAAACACUUCCUCCACGUAGCCCUAUGCGGUCUAAGUGCCCCGCAGACAAUCGAUUGUGUCCAUUCUCUCCUUCCACAUCUAUAAAGCCUGGCUGCACAUACCCAACACCAGUGCCUAGAUCCAGAUUUUAUGAGGAAACAGGAUCAAAUGUUUCUCACACUAAUGUCUCAAGGACUAGCCAGAAGACCAACAACCAGUUGAAGAAAGCACUAGAUUUCAAGAGAAGGAAGCCUGGCAUGGAUAUCUGAGAGCAGUGGCACGAGCACCUCUAAAGAAGAGAUUGUUCUAUGUUUCGGGAGGAGCUCUUGCAAUUCAAGCAACUUGGACCUAAGCGAGCAGCAGAGAUACUAGAGUUGCAACAAAACUGUGAGGAACCAUUUCAAAAUGUAUGUUUCUUUCUUAGUUGUCUCUCCAAUGCAUGACCUUUACAACUUGAUGAAAUCCAAAAGCAAAAUCCACAGUAUUAGUGUUCCGUUAUUAAUCAUUUCAUAAAGCAAUUCUUUGAUUUUCAAGAACGUGUUAGAAACGGUCAAUUGAAUUUUGCUUGAACCUGUUUUUGCUAACUUCACCUAAUCUACUACAUCGUUACAUUGCA
This is a non-coding RNA of Physcomitrium patens, 943 nucleotides long. Lineage: Eukaryota; Viridiplantae; Streptophyta; Bryopsida; Funariales; Funariaceae. The record is from RefSeq and is a predicted model, not a curated record.